GCUCCUAGUACGAGAGGACCGGAGUGGACGCAUCACUGGUGUUCGGGUUGUCAUGCCAAUGGCACUGCCCGGUAGCUAAAUGCGGAAGAGAUAAGUGCUGAAAGCAUCUAAGCACGAAACUUGCCCCGAGAUGAGUUCUCCCUGACUCCUUGAGAGUCCUGAAGGAACGUUGAAGACGACGACGUUGAUAGGCCGGGUGUGUAAGCGCAGCGAUGCGUUGAGCUAACCGGUACUAAUGAACCGUGAGGCUUAACCUUACAACGCCGAAGCUGUU
RNAcentral lists this ribosomal RNA (274 nucleotides) under Escherichia coli. RNAcentral describes it as "partial 23S ribosomal RNA". It matches the Rfam family "Bacterial large subunit ribosomal RNA", at positions 2674 to 2925 of the family's 2925-position model. The record is from RNAcentral. Lineage: Bacteria; Pseudomonadati; Pseudomonadota; Gammaproteobacteria; Enterobacterales; Enterobacteriaceae.